Molecule: long non-coding RNA, 4597 nt
Filed under: Solanum tuberosum (potato)
Lineage: Eukaryota; Viridiplantae; Streptophyta; Magnoliopsida; Solanales; Solanaceae
Description: long non-coding RNA (STUB_LNC010468)
Source: RNAcentral
CUCUUUACCAAAAUGUGACAACUUGACUUGACAGAGGAUGCUCUUUUACAUGAUUGAAGUAAUUUGCAAACCUAGAAUCAGUGAUUUUUAGCAUUACAUUUUUGUCAAUCAACAAAGCAUCCCCAUAAUAUUUCGGUGCAAAUACACUCUUGUGACAGUGCUGCAGCUGUGCAAGUAACUACCUGCAUACAACAGUUUAUAUGAAAUUGAAAAAAUACUUUGAAAAUCAGCAAGUGUAAUGACCAACAACAAAUGAAAAUUAAUCUCGAAUGAUACGUGUCUUUUUCAUUACAGGGUUGUUAUGCAUCAAAUUCUCAAUAGAGAAUGGGGCAUUCUCACUAUACCCCUCUUCCAUCUCUCAUCCAAAUAAGAAAAUAUUGCUCCCUCUAUGCUCAUCAGUCAAUGUGAAGUCUUAAAGAAGACAUAUCACAUCUUCAAGCAGCGAAAACCAAGGGAAAAAAAAUAAAGAAUCCCCAAAAAUAGAGCAAAUGCCAGCUAAUAGUGAAUAUACUAAAGAGUGCUAUCUUUCAGUCGUGAAAAAUUCCAAGCAAAGUGGGUUGCUUCCUGCAGAUGGCAAGCAUAAAGUAGGAGAAAAAGGAGAUAAUUAGGAAACUAUUGUUAAACUAUAUCAUUUUCAAAUUCAGAGGAAUUGAACUGAACAGUUGAAAAUAUAAAUUCAGCUAUGGCUAAUUGGCAAAAAAUUCUUACGAAGCAAUAGAGAUCCAAGCAUACAAUAUUUAGCACAAAAAUAUCUCUUUUUUCUCUUUCAGUUCUCCUUUUUUCCUAUUCUGCUUACUCUCUUUUCUCCUCCUCUCUUGUAGCCACCACUUUCUCCAUCAGCCACGUUCCCAAAAACAUUUUAUCUACACAUGUAUUCUAGUCAUUUUCUUCAUUUUCCUUCAGUAAUUUUCCCCCUCAACUUAGAUUGUUUUUCAAGAAAAACAAUUAUCUUAAAAAUUAGCUUAUGAAAGUCAUGUUUGAAACUUUUCACUCUAUAGGAGGUAAGAUACCUCUUCAUAAGUGCAUCGUGCAUGGAUCAUAUACCAUGAAAAAAAUGUCAAGGGUAAAAUGCUAAGGAAAACUUUAUUGCAAAAGAUAUAUAUAUAUAUAUUCUCGUUGAAAACAUAGGUAAGUUCAUAGCAGUGUAGAAUCGUGGUGCAGACUUGUGAAAUGAUGUCUUGGUACUGAUAUUUAGUAUUAGUUUUGUACUCAUCAAAUAAAAAGAUCUAAACUAAAACAAAUAUCUUUUUUGAAAUAAAAGUAAAAGAGUUAGUGACAUCUAUUAUUGAUCUCACCAAAUUUACCAAAGUGAAACAUCAAAAAGAUAGAGGGGGAACAAAUGAGAGUUCAACCAUUCAUAUAUAUCUUCUUAUAUGGUCUAUGAAUAAUUGAAGCCAAGCUUCCAGUAAUAUCAUCAUAAUCAUAAAGUUACAACAAUUUGGAAAAUUACUUGGCAACCUUAUCAAUUGAAAAUCUACAUGAAAUGACCAUAGACCAAACUAUAAGCAUGUGCAAAUUGUGAUAAAACUCUAUUGUAUAUUUAGAAAAUUAGAAGAUCUUUGUUCUUUUAUUCGAUGAGUCAAUCUAUCCAUUCUCAUUAGGGGAAUUCCUUUAUCUUAUCAAGAGUCCUAGGGAAAUAAAAAAUAACUUCGAGGUAUUUUUUUCGUUUCUUUAAACUUCUUACAAUUUUAUCAUCCUACACCUCAGGACUCACAUAGCUUUAAAGUUAUUUUCUAUUCAAGCAAUCCAAUUUCCACCAAGGACGAUAAAUUUUAAGUUGUCAUAAUACUAAACAAAGAAUAGCUAAGGAUAUGACUACUUUAAAGGUUAUUAUGGAUAUUGUGGGAAGAACACACAUGAAAAGCAAGCUUUGUAAACAUAAAUUUGGCUAACCAAGUUGGGUCGGUGAUCCUAGUUUUAGCAUCUUGCCUGAACUUGCAUAUUUUGUCACUGCUACUUCCCUUUCUUGUCAAUCAUAGUUGAAGAGGUCAUAUUCCUUUUGUUUCUUUUAGUGGCACUUGUAAUCCAUUGAUUGAAGAUAGAAAAGUAACUGCAGUUUCGGUGACCUCAAGGUUAUGAGCCUUGCGAGCUAUCAGAUUGUUGUACCACAAGCCAAAGAUAAGAACUGAAAACUAAUAGAUAAAAAGAAUUAAAUGUUCCCCUCCACCCUAUCAGUACAAAUAGAAUAAAAGUGAAACAUCAAAAAGAUAGAGGGGAACAAAUGAGAGUUCAACCAUUCAUAUAUAUCUUCUUAUAUGGCCUAUGAAUAGUUCAAGCCAAGCUUCCAGUAAUAUCAUCAUAAUCAUAAAGUUGCAACAAAUUGGGAAAUUACUUGGCAACCUUAUCAAUUGAAAUCUACAUGAAAUGACCAUAGACCAAACUAUAAGCAUGUGCAAAUUGUGAUAAAACUCUAUUGUAUAUUUAGAAAAUUAGAAGAUCUUUGUUCUUUUAUUCGAUGAGUCAAUCUAUCCAUUCUCAUUAGGGGAAUUCCUUUAUCUUAUCAAGAGUCCUAGGGAAAUAAAAAAUAACUUCGAGGUAUUUUUUUCGAUUCUUUAAACCUCUUCAAAUUUUAUCAUCCUACAUCUCAGGACUCAGAUAGCUUUGAAGUUAUUUUCUAUUCAAGCAAUCCAAUUUUCACAAAGGACGAUAAAUUUUAAGUUGUCAUAAUAUUAAACAAAGAAUAGCUAAGGAUAUGACUACAUUAAAGGUCAUUAUGGAUAUUGUGGGAAGAACACACAUGAAAAGCAAGCUUUGUAAACAUAAAUUUGGCUAACCAAGUUGUGUCGGUGAUCCUAGUUUCAGCAUCUUGCCUGAAUAUUUUGUCACUGCUACUUCCCUUUCUUGCAAAUCGUAGUUGAAGAGGUCAUAUUCCUUUUGUUUCUUUUAGUGGCACUUGUAAUCCAUUGAAUUAGGAUGUUACAGAAUUUGAUAAUAUAUUUACUAAGAUCAAUGGAUCAUUCUUCUAACAAUUUGAACAUAACUUUCAUCAAACAUGUUAUGUACAAAGGAAUAUGACUACAAAAUGAGGAUAGAAAAGUAACUGCAGUUUCCGUGAGCUCAAGGUUAUGAGCCUUGCGAGCUAUCAGAUUGAUGUACCACAAGCCAAAGAUAAGAACUGAAAACUAAUAUAUAAAAAGAAUUAAAUGUUCCCCUCCACCUUAUCAGUACAAAUAGAAUAAAAGUGAAACAUCAAAAAGAUAAAGGGGAACAAAUAAGAGUUCAACCAUUCAUAUAUAUCUUCUUAUAUGGCCUAUGAAUAGUUCAAGCCAAGCUUCCAGUAAUAUCAUCAUAAUCAUAAAGUUGCAACAAAUUGGAAAAUUACUUGGCAACCUUGAAAUGACUAUAGACCAAACUAUAAGCAUGUGCAAAUUGUGAUAAAACUCUAUUGUAUAUUUAGAAAAUUAGAAGAUCUUUGUUCUUUUAUUCGAUGAGUCAAUCUAUCCAUUCUCAUUAGGGGAAUUCCUUUAUCUUAUCAAGAGUCCUAAGGAAAUAAAAAAUAACUUUCGAGGUAUUUUUUUCGUUUCUUUAAACCUCUUCAAAUUUUAUCAUCCUACACCUCAGGACACAGAUAGCUUUGAAGUUAUUUUCUAUUCAAGCAAUAAAAUUUCCACAAAGGACGAUAAAUUUUAAGUUGUCAUAAUACGAAACAAAGAAUAGCUAAGGAUAUGACUACAUUAUAGGUUAUUAUGGAUAUUGUGGGAAGAACACACAUGAAAAGCAAGCUUUGUAAACAUAAAUUUGGCUAAAAAAGUUGUGUCGGUGAUCCUAGUUUAAGCAUCUUGCCUGAAGUUGCAUAUUUUGUCACUACUACUUCCCUUUCUUGCAAAUCGUAGUUAAAGAGGUCAUAUUCCUUUUGUUUCUUUCAGCGGCACUUGUAAUCCAUUGAAUUAGGAUGUUACAGAAUUUGAUAAUAUAUUUACUAAGAAUCAAUGGAUCAUUCUUCUAACAAUUUGAACAUAACUUUCAUCAAACAUGUUAUGUACAAAGGAAUAUGACUACAAAAUGAGGAUAGAAAAGUAACUGCAGUUUCCGUGACCUCAAGGUUAUGAGCCUUGCGAGCUAUCAGAUUGCUCUACCACAAGCCAAAGAUAAGAACUGAAAACUAAUAGUUAAAAAGAAUUAAAUCUUCCCCUUCACCCUAUCAGCACAAAUAGAAUAACUCAUUUAUACAGAAUGGUAAAAGGGCUACUAUGAUCAUCAACAAUAGAAAUAGAACUAAAGUGUUAAUUCUUACCUACUUGAUCUUGUUGCUCCUGGCAACAAACAUGCUGAACCAUUUUAGCAAGUAUACACAGUAAACUAAAGACGAUGAGGUGAUUUGUUCAGUGUAGUGGCAGAGGAACACACUUUUCUGGCAUAUGCAAUUAUUGAAAGAACAAUAAAUCAUUCAAACAGUUAGGAAGCAUGAGUAAAGAGUUCCAAAUUCUAACAAAGAAUUUCUUACUUAACACCCAUCUUUAUGGUUGUCCAUCUAGACUUCUUAGUUUUCUUCAUGUGGUACCUGCAAUCGAAAAAUGAUAAUAUUCAUUAUACAAAUAAAAAAUAGGAUGAUAUUGAUUAGAAAACCGUUUAAUUUUUCUAGUUAUGUUCAAUACAA